UACGUAGGGUGCAAGCGUUGUCCGGAAUUAUUGGGCGUAAAGAGCUCGUAGGCGGCUUGUCGCGUCGAAUGUGAAAACUCGGGGCUCAACUCCGAGCUUGCAGUCGAUACGGGCAGGCUAGAGUUCGGCAGGGGAGACUGGAAUUCCUGGUGGUAGCGGUGAAAUGCGCAGAGUAUCAAGGAGGAACACCGGUGGCGAAGG
This 201-nucleotide ribosomal RNA is filed under the name uncultured bacterium. RNAcentral's name for it is "partial 16S ribosomal RNA". It matches the Rfam family "Bacterial small subunit ribosomal RNA", at positions 524 to 721 of the family's 1533-position model. The record is from RNAcentral.